RNAcentral lists this long non-coding RNA (3718 nucleotides) under Mytilus galloprovincialis (Mediterranean mussel). The record is from RNAcentral. Lineage: Eukaryota; Metazoa; Mollusca; Bivalvia; Mytilida; Mytilidae.
AAUAUUGUUAUUUAUAGCUGCAUAAAAAUCUUAUCAUCUUGAUUUAUGGUCUUGAUAAUUCAUCAUGAUGUCUUAGGUACAGAUCUGAGUUAGGUUAGAUUGAGAUACUGGUAUUAUUUGUGUUCAAAUAGAGAUGUUACCUUAAGACUAUUUAAUGGGUAAUUUUAGAAUUUUUGUGUUCCCCAAACUUUCUUAAAUUUGAAUUAUUAUUUAACAAAAACAUUAUUAGGUUAUUUGACGAUAUAAUCAAUAGAUAAUUAAUUCCAUGCAUUUUCAAAUUAAUUGUCUUUUCUUUCAAAUAUUAGUCUGAGAACCAUUUUGUAUUGUAUAACAGUAUUGUAUAACAUGUCCCAAAAAUAUAUAUGCACUGUAUAUGUAUAUUAUAUAAAAAAUACUAUUGGCAGCUUAAAUGGAAUCUCAUUCUGUUAUUUAGUAUCAAAAAUCAAAGCACUGCUAGCGGUGUGAAGCAGUUAAUUGAAAACCAGCUACUAGACAUAGCCCUGUUCUCUUUAAUUAACUAGGUCCAUAUUUCAUAAAAGGUUGUAUAAUUUCUGAUCAGGCCUGACAAAUUAAACACAUAAUGAUAUUGUCUGGUUGUAGUACUAGUACACUCUAUUUGUGAAAUAAGGAUAAAUUCUUAAGAAGUUGUAUAUCUUAACCAUUAUCAAUACGAUUCUUUGUAUGAGAUAUCCAUUUUUUACCAUGUGUCUUAGUAGAUGUGUAUAUUGAAUAUUUUUUGUCAGUUUUUUACUAUGUUCCUUAUCUGUAGAAUGAGAUAUAUUGUUUUUGUCCUGUUCACUUGUUUGUUUGUCCACAACAAAAAUUUUGUCUGAGUGUGUUCUCCUGCAUUUUACAUUAGAAUAAAAUGAAUUUAAAUACAAAUAUAAAUUGCUUUAUGCCUUGUGCAGAUGUACUAGAGAGCAGAUGUACUAGAGAUAUAAAAUUGAUUUUUGGGAUUUUUUUGUAUAGAAAAAACUUUGGUUUUACCACUUCAGCAAAGAUUGUUGAUGUGAAAUUUCAUACAUUUUAAUUUCAAACAGAAACAGGACAUAAUUAUUUCAUAAUAUGAUCAUGUAUAGAAGUGCAUUUCUUCAAUUUGUUAACCUCAAUUUUUUGUAAAGAGAGGAACAUGUGUUUUUGUGUCAGAAAUUUUUAAUUUGCAAUGUAAAAAUGCUAUUUAUACUAUUUAUUGCAUUAUUUUGUAUUGAGAUUAUUCCCAUUUUACAUAAUUCCCAUAAUAUAAUGUAUAAUUGAUUAUUUUGUAAACUUAAUUAUGUCUGUACUACAGAACUCAUGUUAUCAACAUAUCUUAUUUAGGACUAUUUUACUGUCAUAGGAACAUUGAGAUGACUGUAGUUACUACAGUGUAGUACUUCUCAUUAUCUUAUAUGGGCAAACAUGUCAUUUUUUGUUUCAGCUAAAAUUCAAAGCAAUAACAGCGUAAUAAGCUUAAAUUUAAAAAAAAACCUAAACAACUAUGUUUGGACAGCCAAUUAUACCAGAAAAGAAAAAUGUUUUCAGUUUAUUAUAAAACAACAUACACUUGCAGAAAUACUGAUAAAAUAACCCAACUUCACAGAGAUAGCAUAAUUAUCUUUUUAUUGGAGGUUUAAACAUUUUUGAUAAAAAACAGACAACAUUUUUUGAAAGGAAUGUAUACUUCCUAUAAUCAUGUCUCAUUUCAUUAGUGUUGUAGAUAUCUCAGACUAGCAUCCAUUGACAUUCCACACUUUGAAGGUCAAAUGUGUUACCUUUAAACUGAACUAUAUUUAAGCAAAGAUUUUUUUCCCUUCAUAUCAUAUUUUCCUGGGUCUCAAUGGAUUUGGUUCUAAAGAGCUGUUUAUUACUUAUUUUUCUUUUUUUGCUCAAAAAAUGAUCUAUCUUUGAAAAGUUGGGAUUUUUAAAAAUAUAGUUGUUUGAGGUUUAAAUAGGCUAAACAUGCAUAUCUUGAUUAAAUUUGUGUAUGCCAGCUAUGUGUUUUGUCUUCUAAAGACUCAUCAUUGUCGCUAAAAUAGAAAAUUGUAAAAAUGCAAAUGAAGUAUUGAGAAUCCAAAAUUCUGAGAGGUUUUGCAAAUUACAGCCAAGGUUUAUCUAAUCCUGGGUUAGAAAAUCCUUAGUAUUUCGUAAAAUUAAGUUUUGUUAACAAAUAAUUUACAAUUGCGACCAUCUCAAUGAUAAUUCAUGUCAACACAUAAGUGUUGAGAACAAAUUUGUUUUCUAGUCGAAAGUAAAUAAAACAAAACUUGAUGAACUAAAGUAAGAAUACUACCUCAUUAACAUUAGAUCAUAUUUAGUUUGUAAUAUUUAUCUUGGUAUAUAUUAUACAAUUAAGUGCAAUUAAAGCUACUAAUCAAAUAUAAGAAAACAGUAUAAGUAGAAUUAGUUUUGUUUUCAUAACUCAUUGUGCAAUAAUUUCUUUGACCAAAGAUCAGAAUUUAUAGAAUAAAUCUGAUUAUUUUUAUUAUAGAACAAAACGUUGAAGGGAAUCAUUAUUGUCAGAUAAUCUACCGGUAAUGUAAAGAUAAUCCUAUUUAUUUGUUUCCAAUUUUAUCUUGUUGGGGCCUUUUAUAGCCUACUAUAAAGUAUGAGUUUUGCUCAUUGUUGAUAGCCAUACAGUAAUCUGUAGUUUCUAAAAGUAACAUUGUUUAGGCUUUGUUGGCUAGUUGUCUCAUUAUAUUUUAUAUAAACUGGAGAAAUUUUAAAGGAGAAGUUACAUUUUAUGGCUUACUUUGUUCUGUAGAUUCAUCCAAUUUUUUUUCAAAUGUAUGAUUUACAUUUUUCAAUUUCGAAAGCUAGACAUUCACAAAGUGUAAAUAUAAGCCAUGCUUCAUUGACAAAUUUUAACUGUAUUAGUGGGAUUUUCAGAAGAAAAAAAUUAAUUAGUAAAUUUAUGAAACAUUUUAACUUAUUUAAUAUAUAGCAUGAUCCAUUGUUCAAAAUGAUUGUUUUGUCAUUGAAUAGAUAUAAACACAAUAUACACCUACUGAAAAUUUCUUUAAGAAACAGUUAUGCUCUACAUUAUUUCUCAGUAUUGAUGAACCGAAUAGUUUGUCACAGUUUUGUGCAAUAGCACUAUUAUACUGAAUUAACCAGUGAUUUAUUAGCUCUGCUGCAUAACCCAUGAAGUGGGCAUUAAAUCAAAACUUCAAUAUCUAAUUUUGACAAAAUGUUUUUUAGAAAAUAGCCCAGACUAGUGAGGAGAAAUCCUUUAAUGGUUGAAACAUUUGUUGCUAAAGAAAAGGAUUCAGUCUUCUGGGAUUGUCUUCUUUUAUUUAUAGCAUCCAUCAAUCAAUCAUUAAUUUUAACAUGUAACAAUCGUGUUUAUAACAGAAAUCCAGAACUGCUCAGUAAUGCUUAUGUAAUGAUUAAUAUUUAAAUUUUGCAAAUUUUAUUUUCAAAAUUUGCAUUUGAUCCAGUACAAAUGUAUAUAUGCAUGAAGUCCUCUUUUUGAAGAUUUUUGGUAAAUGUAUUUGGUGAAUAAAUGUUUACAGAUAAAAUGUAAUCCAUACAAAGUACAAAUUUACAUGUGUAUUAGUCACAUACAAAGUACAAAUUUACAUGUGUAUUAGUCACAUACAAAGUACAAAUUUACAUGUGUAUUAGUCACAUACAAGGUACAAAUUUACAUGUGUAUUAGUCACUUCUUGUUAUUUAUUUGUUAUUGUUAUUCUUUUUUUUGAAUUUUUUAAGGUGGAAGCCAUGAAAAAUUAAAAUAUAU